RNAcentral lists this ribosomal RNA (253 nucleotides) under uncultured bacterium. RNAcentral's name for it is "partial 16S ribosomal RNA". It matches the Rfam family "Bacterial small subunit ribosomal RNA", at positions 524 to 776 of the family's 1533-position model. The record is from RNAcentral.
UACGUAGGGUGCAAGCGUUAAUCGGAAUUACUGGGCGUAAAGCGUGCGCAGGCGGUUUUGUAAGACCGAUGUGAAAUCCCCGGGCUUAACCUGGGAACUGCAUUGGUGACUGCAAGGCUUGAGUGUGUCAGAGGGAGGUGGAAUUCCGCGUGUAGCAGUGAAAUGCGUAGAUAUGCGGAGGAACACCGAUGGCGAAGGCAGCCUCCUGGGAUAACACUGACGCUCAUGCACGAAAGCGUGGGGAGCAAACAGG